This 46-nucleotide non-coding RNA is filed under the name Trichobilharzia regenti. The record is from RNAcentral. Lineage: Eukaryota; Metazoa; Platyhelminthes; Trematoda; Strigeidida; Schistosomatidae.
GUACUGCCGAAAAGUCCCAAAACAGGACGAAACAGAUGUCCAGCAU